This 451-nucleotide ribosomal RNA is filed under the name uncultured bacterium. Its description in RNAcentral is "partial 16S ribosomal RNA". It matches the Rfam family "Bacterial small subunit ribosomal RNA", at positions 354 to 796 of the family's 1533-position model. The record is from RNAcentral.
GUGGGGAAUAUUGGACAAUGGGGGGAACCCUGAUCCAGCCAUGCCGCGUGUGUGAAGAAGGCCUUUUGGUUGUAAAGCACUUUAAGUGGGGAGGAGGCUUACCUGGUUAAUACCUGGGCUAAGUGGACGUUACCCACAGAAUAAGCACCGGCUAACUCUGUGCCAGCAGCCGCGGUAAUACAGAGGGUGCGAGCGUUAAUCGGAUUUACUGGGCGUAAAGCGCGCGUAGGUGGUUAAUUAAGUCAUAUGUGAAAUCCCCGAGCUUAACUUGGGAAUUGCAUUCGAUACUGGUUGGCUAGAGUAUGGGAGAGGAUGGUAGAAUUCCAGGUGUAGCGGUGAAAUGCGUAGAGAUCUGGAGGAAUACCGAUGGCGAAGGCAGCCAUCUGGCCUAAUACUGACACUGAGGUGCGAAAGCAUGGGGAGCAAACAGGAUUAGAAACCCGGGUAGUCC